UUUAAAGUCUGGCCUGCCCUAUGAAAAUUAAAUGGCUGCAGUAUUUUAACUGUACAAAGGUAGCAUAAUCAUUAGUUUUUUAAUUGAAAGCUGGAAUGAAAGGUUUGAUAAAAAAAAAUCUGUCUCUAUUUAAUUUUUAGAAUUUUAUAUUUAAGUUAAAAAGCUUAAAUAAGUUAAAAAGACAAGAAGACCCUAUAGAAUUUAAUAUUUUAAUUUUUUAAAAUUUUAGAUUUUUUUAUUUUUAAUUAGUUUAAAAUGUUUUAUUGGGGUGAUAUAAAAAUUUAUAAAACUUUUUAUUUUAAAAACCAUUUAUAUAUGAACAUUUGAUCUUAAUAUUUAGAUUAAAAGAAAAAAUUACCUUAGGGAUAACAGCGUAAUUUAUUUUUAGAGUUCAAAUUAAAAAAUAAGAUUGCGACCUCGAUGUUGGAUUAAAAUUUAAUUUUGGUGUAGAAGCUAGAAAAUUAGGUCUGUUCGACCUUUAAAAUUUUACA
This 491-nucleotide ribosomal RNA is filed under the name Phloiotrya bellicosa. RNAcentral describes it as "partial 16S ribosomal RNA". The stretch from base 365 to 491 matches the Rfam family "Archaeal large subunit ribosomal RNA", at positions 2542 to 2669 of the family's 2987-position model. Lineage: Eukaryota; Metazoa; Arthropoda; Insecta; Coleoptera; Melandryidae. The record is from RNAcentral.